Molecule: long non-coding RNA, 347 nt
Organism: Actinia tenebrosa (Australian red waratah sea anemone)
Lineage: Eukaryota; Metazoa; Cnidaria; Anthozoa; Actiniaria; Actiniidae
Source: RefSeq, a predicted model, not a curated record
AUGAAACAAGCAAUUUCCUUCUGCUUUAGGGAAAUUUUAAAGAACAACUUGAAGAGCUUUYAUUUGUUAUGGAAACAAGCUUGAUAUUUCAAAGAUUUCAGAGACUAGUUCACAGUGGAUUCGGGGUUCGGCAGAAGCAGCUCUACACAGGCUACAGUUUCCAGGCUACUAAUACACUGCACAGUAUUCAUAUUUACGGAUCACUAUAUGCCUCGCCUUCAAGGACACGGUUAAACUUUUGAUCAAAGUAUCCAUCUUGUCGUGCACAUCGAACCUUGCUUCCGCCUGGGAGUACUUGUUUUCCUUUGUGAGCCGAAGUAUUAAAGCCUAAAAAAAUUUUUUCAAAA